UCGAUGGCAAAAUGGCAAUGUCAUAGGGGUAUUUUAAUUUUAAUAAAAAAAUGAAAAUAGUUUCUACAUCUACAUCUACAUCUACAGUAAAAUACUAGUACUAGUAGUAGAGAGGAAUAGUAGAAGUGUAGAAGUAAAUGAAGGAAGAAGCAAAGGUGAUGGUGACGUGGUGUGUAGGUUAUGUGGUGAAAGGGGAUGCCAGGUGUCUCAUUUGAGGGAACAAAAAUGCUUUUUCUGUUUCUCUUUUGUGUUGUGUGGUGAUAGAGCCUCAUAUAUAUCAUACGUACCUCUUUCGGAUUCGGAUGUUGGCGAUAUUUUUAUAGCCUUGCAAAUUUGGAAGCAACGCGGUGGCGCCACGUGGCAAGCAAAGCAUCGUGGAGAUUCCGAUUUGCUUGCGUGGCUUGAUUUUAUUCACUGGGUUCACACUAGGCCAUGUGGGAUAUAUGUGGAUGGAUGGAUGUGCUCUUCUCCACCUGAUUUGAUUCUCUCUCUCUCUCUUAUAUCAUCGACCACACCCAACCCAUAAUUUAUCAUCACCAACUCCAACCCUUCCUUUUAUUCAUUUCGCACACGCACUCGCGGAUUUUGGAAACUGCAGUCACGCGCUCUUGUGGGACCCACACCCACGUGGUCUAUGAGUCUAUGGCAUUUUUUUGCUUUUUCCAUUGGUUAAUUCCAGUAUUCUCCGCUGCUUCCUCUAGCUACCAGUCUACCACACCCCAUGCUCUUGUGGGUGUGUUUUAUUUUAUUUCGUCUUCUUUUUUUCUUAAUAUAAUUAUUAAUUAUUAUUCUGUGUGCGGUGAUGGAGAGGAAACAACGCCGUUUUCGUAAUGAGAAUGGAGUAGUAGUGUAGUACCGAUUCCAAGUCUAGAAUAGCCGUUUUUCAACGUUGGUUCGUCAACUCUUGCUAGUGCACGGAGACUUGAGCUUCGAUUGCUAAGGAAAUUGACGAAUCUACUGAAGUAGUAUUAUAUUUGAACUUCCCCAGCUGAUACAACCUUUUUGUCUGUAUGUAUCUAUUGACCUGUCUUGCAAGUUAUGCACAUGAUGAAGCAUGAGUGCAUGACUGUAUCAGCAAUUCAGCGAGGACGAUAUAUAUAAUUCAUUCGUUUUGUUUCUCGUAUAUAGCUAACGUGUGUGUUGCUUUUAUUUUUAUUUUCGUAUAUGUAGGACACAAUAUGGGAUACACUGAUACACUAAUAGGAAUUGCGUUAA
Molecule: non-coding RNA, 1215 nt
Organism: Arachis ipaensis
Lineage: Eukaryota; Viridiplantae; Streptophyta; Magnoliopsida; Fabales; Fabaceae
Source: RefSeq, a predicted model, not a curated record